This 274-nucleotide ribosomal RNA is filed under the name uncultured bacterium. RNAcentral's name for it is "partial 16S ribosomal RNA". It matches the Rfam family "Bacterial small subunit ribosomal RNA", at positions 333 to 623 of the family's 1533-position model. The record is from RNAcentral.
UGUUACCUACGGGGGGCAGCAGUGGGGAAUAUUGCACAAUGGGGGAAACCCUGAUACAGCGACGCCGCGUGAGCGAAGAAGUAUUUCGGUAUGUAAAGCUCUAUCAGCAGGGAAGAAAAAUGACGGUACCUGAGUAAGAAGCACCGGCUAAAUACGUGCCAGCAGCCGCGGUAAUACGUAGGGGGCAAGCGUUAUCCGGAUUCACUGGGCGUAAAGGGAGCGCAGGCGGCAUGGCAAGUCUGAUGUGAAAACCCGGGGCCCAACCCCGGGAGUG